Molecule: ribosomal RNA, 434 nt
Filed under: Salmonella enterica subsp. enterica serovar Senftenberg
Lineage: Bacteria; Pseudomonadati; Pseudomonadota; Gammaproteobacteria; Enterobacterales; Enterobacteriaceae
Also listed under: 8 other names
Description: bacterial SSU rRNA
Rfam family: Bacterial small subunit ribosomal RNA
Source: RNAcentral
UGAAGAGUUUGAUCAUGGCUCAGAUUGAACGCUGGCGGCAGGCCUAACACAUGCAAGUCGAACGGUAACAGGAAGCAGCUUGCUGCUUCGCUGACGAGUGGCGGACGGGUGAGUAAUGUCUGGGAAACUGCCUGAUGGAGGGGGAUAACUACUGGAAACGGUGGCUAAUACCGCAUAACGUCGCAAGACCAAAGAGGGGGACCUUCGGGCCUCUUGCCAUCAGAUGUGCCCAGAUGGGAUUAGCUUGUUGGUGAGGUAACGGCUCACCAAGGCGACGAUCCCUAGCUGGUCUGAGAGGAUGACCAGCCACACUGGAACUGAGACACGGUCCAGACUCCUACGGGAGGCAGCAGUGGGGAAUAUUGCACAAUGGGCGCAAGCCUGAUGCAGCCAUGCCGCGUGUAUGAAGAAGGCCUUCGGGUUGUAAAGUACUU